Molecule: transfer RNA, 65 nt
Filed under: Brachymyrmex patagonicus
Lineage: Eukaryota; Metazoa; Arthropoda; Insecta; Hymenoptera; Formicidae
Description: tRNA-Tyr
Source: RNAcentral
AGUAUUAUGUCUGAAAAAAGUAAUAAAUUGUAAAUUUAUAAAUGAAAUUAAAUUUUCUAAUACUA